GGGACCCAGGCGUCCGGGUCGUGUCCCCCCCGUCCAGGUGGACGCCCAGCUGCUGCUGGUGCAGAAGCUGGAGGAGAAGGAGCGGGUGCUGCAGGGCAGCUUGGCCUCGGUGGAGAAGGAGCUGGCGCUGCGCUCGCAGGCCCUCGAGCUCAACAAGAGGAAGGUGAGAGACGGGGGGGCCCAGGCGUCCGGGAGGGGCCCAGGCGUCCGGGAGGGGCCCAGGCGUCCAGGAGGGACCCAGGCGUUUGGGAGGGGCCCAGGCGUCCGGGAGGGGCUCAGGAGUCCGGGGAAGGGCCCAGGCAUCCAGGAGGGGCCCAGGCGUCCGGGAGGGAUCCAGGCGUCCGGGAGGGGCCCAGGCGUCCGGGAGGGAUCCAGGCGUCCGGGAGGGAUCCAGGAGUCCAGGAGGGAUCCAGGCGUCCGGGAGGGGCCCAGGCGUCCGGGAAGGGCCUAGGCGUCCGGAGAGGGACCCAGGUGUCCAGGAGGGAUCCAGGAGUCCGGGAAGAGGAUCCAGGUGUCCGGGAGGGGCCCAGGCAUCCGGGAGGGACCCAGGCGUCCGGGAGGGAUCCAGGAGUCCGGGGAGGGGCCCAGGCGUCCGGAAGGGGCCCAGGAGUCCGGGAGGGGCCCAGGCGUCUGAGAGGGACCCAGGCGUUUGGGAGGGGCCCAGGCGUCCGGGAGGGGCCCAGGAGUCCAGGAGGGAUCCAGGCGUCCGGGAGGGACCCAGGAGUCCAGGAGGGAUCCAGGAGUCCGGGAAGAGGAUCCAGGUGUCCGGGAGGGGCCCAGGCAUCCGGGAGGGACCCAGGCGUCUGGGCAAGGCAGGACCCAGGCGUCCGGGUGGGAAGGGACCCAGGCGUCCGGGCACAUGGGGGUCCGGGCAGGAAGGGGCCCAGGCGUCCGGGUGCACAGGGGUCUGGGUGGACAGGACCCAGGUGUCUGGGCGUGGGGGACCCAGGUGUCCGGGCAGGAAGGGGCCCAGGCGUCCGGGCAUAUGGGGGUCCGGGCCUGGCAGGGCCCAGGCGUCCGGGCAAGGUGGGACCCAGGCGUCCGGGUGGACGGGGCCCAGGCGUCCGGGUAAGGUGGGACCCAGGCGUCUGGGUGCAUGGGGGUCUGGGCAGAUGGGGCCCAGGCAUCCGGGCAGAAGGGGCCCAGGCGUCCGGGUGCAGCAGGACCCAGGCGUCCAGGCACACGGGGCCCAGGCGUCUAAGUGCAUGGGGGUCUGGGCAGAUGGGGCCCAGGCGUCCGGGCAAGGCAGGACCCAGGCAUCUGGGCAGGAAAGGGCCCAGGCGUCCGGGCGCAUGGAGGUCCUGGUGCAUGGGGGGUCCGGGCACGUGGGGCCCAGGCAUCUUGGCACAUGGGGAUCCAGGCAGACGGGGCCCAGGUGUCCGGGCGCAUGGGGGUCCGGGCCCAGCAGGGCCCAGGCAUCCGGGCAGAUGGGGCCCAGGCGUCCGGGCAGGAAGGGACCCAGGUGUCCAGGUGCAGCAGGACCCAGGCAUCCAGGCACAUGGGGGUCCAGGCAGACAGGGCCCAGGCGUCCGGGCAAGACGGGGCCCAGGCGUCCGGGUGCAGCAGGACCCAGGUGUCCAGGCACACGGGGCCCAGGCAGAUGGGUCCCAGGCGUCCGGGCAGAUGGGACCCAGGUGUCCAGGCACACGGGGGUCCAGGCGUCCUAGCGCACGAGGAUCCUGGCGCACGGGGAGGGGUAGAUCGAUUUGGGCGCGCGGGGCCCAGGCGUCCGGGACCCAGACAUCCUAG
Molecule: long non-coding RNA, 1749 nt
Organism: Apteryx owenii (little spotted kiwi)
Lineage: Eukaryota; Metazoa; Chordata; Aves; Apterygiformes; Apterygidae
Source: Ensembl